UAAAAAAUACGCAUUUGAACACCAUUUUCCAUUCUCAAAAUUUGCUCUCCAUUAUUGUAUGUAUUUUUGGCGAAAUCAUCAAAGAAAAGGAAUAGGCGUUCCCAUGAAGAUCUCCUAUUGAAAGAACUUUAUUUGUGAGAAAAAUGCUACAGUAACAUCAUUGAACCUUUUAUUCAACAUACAAAAUAUAAAACCGUUCCAUUUCAUUGUAUCCUUUUCUCUUGUUGUCUUUAUAUAAACAAGUUAAAAAAAUAAACAAGUUAAAAACAGGUUAGGGCCGACCUUUAAUACCGCCCUAACCAUAAACGAUGUCAGCUAGCAAUUGGGUGUAACUACUAUCAUGGUUCUCUCAGUCGCUUCCCGGGAAACCUAAGCUUUUGGGCU
This 384-nucleotide non-coding RNA is filed under the name Musca domestica (house fly). Lineage: Eukaryota; Metazoa; Arthropoda; Insecta; Diptera; Muscidae. The record is from Rfam by way of RNAcentral.